This 498-nucleotide ribosomal RNA is filed under the name uncultured Janthinobacterium sp. Its description in RNAcentral is "bacterial SSU rRNA". It matches the Rfam family "Bacterial small subunit ribosomal RNA", at positions 337 to 827 of the family's 1533-position model. Lineage: Bacteria; Pseudomonadati; Pseudomonadota; Betaproteobacteria; Burkholderiales; Oxalobacteraceae. The record is from RNAcentral.
UCCCUUGGGGGGGGGCCCUUGGGGAUUUCUUGCAAAAGGCGCAAGCCUGAUCCAGCAAUGCCGCGUGAGUGAAGAAGGCCUUCGGGUUGUAAAGCUCUUUUGUCAGGGAAGAAACGGUCCGGGCUAAUAUCCUGGGGUAAUGACGGUACCUGAAGAAUAAGCACCGGCUAACUACGUGCCAGCAGCCGCGGUAAUACGUAGGGUGCGAGCGUUAAUCGGAAUUACUGGGCGUAAAGCGUGCGCAGGCGGUUUUGUAAGUCUGAUGUGAAAUCCCCGGGCUUAACCUGGGAAUUGCAUUGGAGACUGCAAGGCUGGAGUCUGGCAGAGGGGGGUAGAAUUCCACGUGUAGCAGUGAAAUGCGUAGAGAUGUGGAGGAACACCGAUGGCGAAGGCAGCCCCCUGGGUCAAGACUGACGCUCAUGCACGAAAGCGUGGGGAGCAAACAGGAUUAGAUACCCUGGUAGUCCACGCCCUAAACGAUGUCUACUAGUUGUCGGG